CACAUCGCAAAUUGUCUAGUGAUUUCGACGAAACAUUUAUGUUGAUGUGAAAGUUCGAAGCUUUUGAAAGUCGCUUAUUGCGCCCGAAAGACCAACGGAUUCAAGUUUAUACGCGUACGCGAGCAUAUACAGAAAUCUUCGUGCGUUGAACAAAGUAAAUCAAGCUGAGGUAUAGAUACUGAGUGACAAGUGAAAAAAGGGAAAAUAGAGCGACUGGAUGGGUCUACUACGAAAGGCUGAAACUCAAAAGGCAGAAACACGAAAAGCUGAAACUCGAAAGGCUGAAAUCACGAAAGGCUAAAAACUACAAAAGGCUGAAAAACACGGAAUGCUGAAUCAUGAUGAGUAGAGCAUGGUGUAACGGUUUGACCAAAAACUAGGCGCGGAGUGAGGAAGCGUUGUUUCACUUUGGAGGGUUGGAGACGAGGCAUCACUAGAUGCAAUCAGCAAUAUUUAUAAGGAUUUUAUCAGGCCUAUGAAAAGACGCCUUUUUUGUGACCGAAAAAUAAUAAGCAACAUUAUGGAACCACGGUUGGUUCGAAAUGGAAAUGGAGCCAAAAAAA
Long non-coding RNA from Wyeomyia smithii (pitcher-plant mosquito), 563 nucleotides. RefSeq lists it as uncharacterized. NCBI's taxonomy places the organism in Eukaryota, Metazoa, Arthropoda, Insecta, Diptera, Culicidae. The transcript has 3 exons. The record is from RefSeq and is a predicted model, not a curated record.